CUUGCUUCUCUUGAGAGCGGCGGACGGGUGAGUAAUGCCUAGGAAUCUGCCUGGUAGUGGGGGAUAACGUUCGGAAACGAACGCUAAUACCGCAUACGUCCUACGGGAGAAAGCAGGGGACCUUCGGGCCUUGCGCUAUCAGAUGAGCCUAGGUCGGAUUAGCUAGUUGGUGAGGUAAUGGCUCACCAAGGCGACGAUCCGUAACUGGUCUGAGAGGAUGAUCAGUCACACUGGAACUGAGACACGGUCCAGACUCCUACGGGAGGCAGCAGUGGGGAAUAUUGGACAAUGGGCGAAAGCCUGAUCCAGCCAUGCCGCGUGUGUGAAGAAGGUCUUCGGAUUGUAAAGCACUUUAAGUUGGGAGGAAGGGCAGUUACCUAAUACGUGAUUGUUUUGACGUUACCGACAGAAUAAGCACCGGCUAACUCUGUGCCAGCAGCCGCGGUAAUACAGAGGGUGCAAGCGUUAAUCGGAAUUACUGGGCGUAAAGCGCGCGUAGGUGGUUUGUUAAGUUGGAUGUGAAAUCCCCGGGCUCAACCUGGGAACUGCAUUCAAAACUGACUGACUAGAGUAUGGUAGAGGGUGGUGGAAUUUCCUGUGUAGCGGUGAAAUGCGUAGAUAUAGGAAGGAACACCAGUGGCGAAGGCGACCACCUGGACUAAUACUGACACUGAGGUGCGAAAGCGUGGGGAGCAAACAGGAUUAGAUACCCUGGUAGUCCACGCCGUAAACGAUGUCAACUAGCCGUUGGAAGCCUUGAGCUUUUAGUGCGCAGCUAACGCAUUAAGUUGACCGCCUGGGGA
Molecule: ribosomal RNA, 803 nt
Filed under: Pseudomonas sp.
Lineage: Bacteria; Pseudomonadati; Pseudomonadota; Gammaproteobacteria; Pseudomonadales; Pseudomonadaceae
Description: bacterial SSU rRNA
Rfam family: Bacterial small subunit ribosomal RNA
Source: RNAcentral